RNAcentral lists this ribosomal RNA (497 nucleotides) under uncultured bacterium. RNAcentral's name for it is "partial 16S ribosomal RNA". It matches the Rfam family "Bacterial small subunit ribosomal RNA", at positions 28 to 507 of the family's 1533-position model. The record is from RNAcentral.
GAUGAACGCUGGCGGCGUGCCUAAUACAUGCAAGUCGAGCGAACAGACGCGGAGCUUGCUCCUCUGACGUUAGCGGCGGACGGGUGAGUAACACGUGUAUAACCUACCUAUAAGACUGGUAUCACUUCGGGAAACCGGAGCUAAUACCGUAUAAUAUAUUGAACCGCAUGGUUCAAUAGUGAAAGACGGUUUUGCUGUCACUUCUAGCUGGAUCCGCGCCGCAUUAGCUAGUUGGUAAGUUAACGGCUUACCAAGGCGACGAUGCGUAGCCGACCUGAGAGGGUGAUCGGCCGCACUGGAACUGGGACACGGUCCAGACGACUACGGGAGGCAGCAGUAGGGAAUCUUCCGCAAUAGGCGAAAGCUUGACGGAGCGACGCCGCGUGAGUGAUGAAGGUCUUCGGAUCGUAAAACUCUGUUAUUAGGGAAGAACAAAUGUGUAAGGAACUAUGCACGGCUUGACGGUACCGAGUAAGAAAGCAACGGCUAACUACGUG